Molecule: ribosomal RNA, 465 nt
Filed under: uncultured bacterium
Lineage: Bacteria
Description: partial 16S ribosomal RNA
Rfam family: Bacterial small subunit ribosomal RNA
Source: RNAcentral
CCUACGUGAGACAGCAGUGGGGAAUAUUGCGCAAUGGGCGAAAGCCUGACGCAGCGACGCCGCGUGAGGGAUGAAUGUCUUCGGAUCGUAAACCUCUGUCAGCAGGGAAGAACGGUCACUGUGCUAAUCAGCAGUGAAUUGACGGUACCUGCAAAGGAAGCACCGGCUAACUCCGUGCCAGCAGCCGCGGUAAUACGGAGGGUGCGAGCGUUAAUCGGAAUUACUGGGCGUAAAGCGCUCGUAGGCGGUAUGUCAAGUCAAGGGUGAAAUCCCCGCGCUCAACGUGGGAACUGCCUUUGAAACUGGCAAACUGGAGUGUGUGAGAGGAUAGUGGAAUUCCAGGUGUAGGAGUGAAAUCCGUAGAUAUCUGGAGGAACAUCAGUGGCGAAGGCGACUAUCUGGCACAUAACUGACGCUGAGGAGCGAAAGCGUGGGUAGCAAACAGGAUUAGAUACCCCUGUAGUC